Molecule: ribosomal RNA, 399 nt
Filed under: uncultured bacterium
Lineage: Bacteria
Description: partial 16S ribosomal RNA
Rfam family: Bacterial small subunit ribosomal RNA
Source: RNAcentral
CCUACGGGUGGCUGCAGUGAGGAAUAUUGGUCAAUGGACGGAAGUCUGAACCAGCCAAGCCGCGUGAAGGACGACUGCCCUAUGCGUUGUAAACUUCUUUUGUAAAGGGAUAAAGUUAGGCACGUGUGCCUGACUGAGAGUACUUUACGAAUAAGCAUCGGCUAACUCCGUGCCAGCAGCCGCGGUAAUACGGAGGAUCCGAGCGUUAUCCGGAUUUAUUGGGUUUAAAGGGUGCGUAGGUGGAUUGUUAAGUUAGUGGUGAAAAGUUGGGGCUUAACCCUGAAAUUGCAUUUGAUACUGGCAGUCUUGAGAAGAGAUGAGGUAGGCGGAAUGCGUGGUGUAGCGGUGAAAUGCUUAGAUAUCACGCAGAACUCCGAUUGCGAAGGCAGCUUACCAAUC